GACGAACGCUGGCGGCGUGCUUAACACAUGCAAGUCGAACGGAAAGGCCCUGCUUGCAGGGUGCUCGAGUGGCGAACGGGUGAGUAACACGUGGGUGAUCUGCCCCUUACUUUGGGAUAAGCCUGGGAAACUGGGUCUAAUACUGGAUAGGACCAUGCUGUAGGUGGUGUGGUGGAAAGAUUUUUUCGGUAAGGGAUGAGCUCGCGGCCUAUCAGCUUGUUGAUGGGGUAAUGGCCUACCAAGGCGUCGACGGGUAGCCGGCCUGAGAGGGUGGACGGCCACAUUGGGACUGAGAUACGGCCCAGACUCCUACGGGAGGCAGCAGUGGGGAAUAUUGCACAAUGGGCGCAAGCCUGAUGCAGCGACGCCGCGUGGGGGAUGACGGCCUUCGGGUUGUAAACUCCUUUCAGCCAUGACGAAGCCUCUUUUGGGGUGACGGUAGUGGUAGAAGAAGCACCGGCUAACUACGUG
Molecule: ribosomal RNA, 471 nt
Filed under: uncultured bacterium
Lineage: Bacteria
Description: partial 16S ribosomal RNA
Rfam family: Bacterial small subunit ribosomal RNA
Source: RNAcentral